Non-coding RNA from Callithrix jacchus (white-tufted-ear marmoset), 182 nucleotides. The record is from Rfam. NCBI's taxonomy places the organism in Eukaryota, Metazoa, Chordata, Mammalia, Primates, Cebidae.
CUUCGUGGCGGAGCGCGGCCCACCCAGAGCGCCUUCUAUAUCCUGGGUCAGGCGCCAAGCUCCCCCAGCUUCACGCAGGAAUCUGCAGCCUGGCAGAAUUAAGACCACUCUUUCUCGACUGGCGAGCCUUUCCCAGGCCAGUAGCCCGGAUUAGAGUCGCGACCCAAGACGCGCGCUAAGAG